This is a long non-coding RNA of Mastomys coucha (southern multimammate mouse), 185 nucleotides long. RefSeq lists it as uncharacterized. The record is from RefSeq and is a predicted model, not a curated record. The transcript is spliced from 2 exons. Lineage: Eukaryota; Metazoa; Chordata; Mammalia; Rodentia; Muridae.
AUCCAGGUCAGAAACUUGUGUCUUCCAGCCUCAAGAUCUGGAUCCCAGGGACUCAUGGCUCUCUCUCCAAGAAAGAAGUACCUGGGACACCCAUCAGCACAGCAAGGCCCCUGCUAACCUCCAGGCUCCCUCACUCCCUACUCACCAGCACUUUUUAAAAAACAAAGAUUUUAUUUAUAGCCAGG